Molecule: long non-coding RNA, 442 nt
Organism: Oreochromis aureus
Lineage: Eukaryota; Metazoa; Chordata; Actinopteri; Cichliformes; Cichlidae
Source: Ensembl
CAUCACUACGGUCCCGCUAACAUCCACAUUUAUGGCACAGCUGGACAACAACACAACCAAACUGACCAAAGUCUUCAGAAACAAGGGAGGAACAUCUGGACGCAAGAUCACAGAAAUCAUGGCUGCAAUUGAUGAGAACGACACAGUUGCAAUGAGAAGAGUGUGUACGCUGAAAGGACUUGCAGUCUACCUCAAUGAAGAUCCGAACAGCUUGAUCAAAGAAUAUCAGAUGAUGGACCAACACCUCUCAUCUCGCUCUGAGCUGUCUACUGUUUUGCAGCUUAAAGGGAUAUUCCACCCCAAAGUGAAAAUUGGUCUAUUACCAUAUUACCCAGAGUAAGAUAAGUGAGAAAAAAUAAUUUUGUAACCAGUGCAAUAAUUCUCCUGAUCGGGCAGCAGUCUAUUUGCUUUUGCCUAGCAUUUAAAAAAUGGAGUGAAUGGG